RNAcentral lists this ribosomal RNA (253 nucleotides) under uncultured bacterium. Its description in RNAcentral is "partial 16S ribosomal RNA". It matches the Rfam family "Bacterial small subunit ribosomal RNA", at positions 524 to 776 of the family's 1533-position model. The record is from RNAcentral.
UACGUAGGGUGCGAGCGUUAAUCGGAUUUACUGGGCGUAAAGAGCGCGUAGGCGGUCGUCCAAGUCGCGUGUGAAAGCCCCCGGCUCAACUGGGGAGGGUCACGCGAUACUGGUCGACUCGAAGGCGGGAGAGGGUAGUGGAAUUCCCGGUGUAGUGGUGAAAUGCGUAGAUAUCGGGAGGAACACCAGUGGCGAAGGCGACUACCUGGCCUGUUAUUGACGCUGAGGCGCGAAAGCUAGGGGAGCAAACGGG